GUUGGGUUGCGAUUUUAAUGUGGGAUCUACUAUGUAGCUACCCAGAUUGUGAAGGAUCUAAAUCUAGGAACCUAUGUUUUAGGUGCUUAUUUGUGAUGUUGCUAAGUUGUACCGGGAAGCGGUGGAUCCCGGGCGGCGAAUCUAGUACCAUCUCGAGAGCAGUGAUGGAGGCCAUGACACCUAGCUUCAGCAGGUGACAACGCCCAUGAUGCCUAGAGCGAGCGCAGUGGUGGAGGAGGCCAUGGAACCAAGUUUGAGCAGGUGAUGGCGCCCACGAUGCAUAGCGAGAGCGCAAGCCUGCCAUGGCCCUGGCCAACAUAACUUGAUUAUCCAUUUUAAUUAACUUACUCACGGCUGCCUUGCUAAGUUGAUUUCUUGUUAUGUUUUACUUUGCUAAACUUUGAUGCUAAGUUGCUUUCUAGGUAGUAUUAAAAAUGUCUUAACAUUGAUGCUAAGUUGUUUUUAUGCCUGAAGAGAUCAUGCAUUCUUUUGUGAUAUACAAAAGUUGUAGUUUUCAGUCAAA
Molecule: long non-coding RNA, 523 nt
Organism: Lolium rigidum
Lineage: Eukaryota; Viridiplantae; Streptophyta; Magnoliopsida; Poales; Poaceae
Exons: 2
Source: RefSeq, a predicted model, not a curated record